UGCGUAGGUGUCAAGCGUUGUCCGGAAUAACUGGGCGUAAAGGGUGCGUAGGUGGCUAGUUAAGUUAAAUGUGAAAGCCCGGGGCUCAACUCCGGAAUUGCAUUUAAUACUGGUUAGCUAGAGUUCAGGAGGGGUAAGCGGAAUUCCUAGUGUAGCGGUUAAAUGCGUAGAUAUUAGGAGGAACACCAGAGGCGAAGGCGGCUUACUGGACUGACACUGACACUGAGGCACGAAAGCGUGGGGAGCAAACAGG
This 253-nucleotide ribosomal RNA is filed under the name uncultured bacterium. RNAcentral describes it as "partial 16S ribosomal RNA". It matches the Rfam family "Bacterial small subunit ribosomal RNA", at positions 524 to 776 of the family's 1533-position model. The record is from RNAcentral.